Molecule: ribosomal RNA, 459 nt
Filed under: uncultured Allobrachymonas sp.
Lineage: Bacteria; Pseudomonadati; Pseudomonadota; Betaproteobacteria; Burkholderiales; Comamonadaceae
Description: bacterial SSU rRNA
Rfam family: Bacterial small subunit ribosomal RNA
Source: RNAcentral
ACCCGCACAAGCGGUGGAUGAUGUGGUUUAAUUCGAUGCAACGCGAAAAACCUUACCCACCUUUGACAUGGCAGGAAUCCUAAAGAGAUUUGGGAGUGCUCGAAAGAGAACCUGCACACAGGUGCUGCAUGGCUGUCGUCAGCUCGUGUCGUGAGAUGUUGGGUUAAGUCCCGCAACGAGCGCAACCCUUGCCAUUAGUUGCUACGAAAGGGCACUCUAAUGGGACUGCCGGUGACAAACCGGAGGAAGGUGGGGAUGACGUCAAGUCCUCAUGGCCCUUAUAGGUGGGGCUACACACGUCAUACAAUGGCCGGUACAGAGGGUAGCCAACCCGCGAGGGGGAGCCAAUCCCACAAAGCCGGUCGUAGUCCGGAUCGCAGUCUGCAACUCGACUGCGUGAAGUCGGAAUCGCUAGUAAUCGCGGAUCAGCAUGUCGCGGUGAAUACGUUCCCGGGUCUU